Molecule: long non-coding RNA, 821 nt
Organism: Dendroctonus ponderosae (mountain pine beetle)
Lineage: Eukaryota; Metazoa; Arthropoda; Insecta; Coleoptera; Curculionidae
Exons: 2
Source: RefSeq, a predicted model, not a curated record
UUAGUUUAGUUUAGUUCGUGUUCAACUUUCGAACUGUGCGGGGUUGAUUCAGUUUUAGAGCAAAAAUUGCGAACUCCAUGCUCACCAAAGCAAUCGCUUCAGGUUGCUGCUCUAUCGGUUUAGAGCUCGCUCACGCGAACUAUAAACGAAUGUGUCGCGCGUGUUACUGUUAUGAGCAAUCCAGUGCUAGACUAGUUUGAAAAUCACAGACAAAUUGAGCAAAAACCACUUGAACUGACACUAAGACUGUAUCCGGGCGGUAGAACUGUGUCAACUUAGUCAUUUAUCACAUACUUUUGACAGCUAAACCGGUUGCGCGGGUGGCAGCAGUGAAUCGGACCAAACACGUGCCAAGAGCGGUUAGCAACAGGUGGUGACUUGUUUAGGACCAAGUUCAAGGUGACGUUAUGCAUCGAUUGCCACCCCAUUUUGAGGUUAAGGUUUGAUGCCAUUGAGCUAGGGGUGGAUUCCUGCAAGACGUCACGCUGCUAUACUGAAACUUGACCCACUGAGCCAGCAGAAAAAAACAACACCGUGAUAAUUUCCAAGGUGAAAGCAACGAUGAAAAUGCAUGUCUGUAACUUUUUCAUAAUUAUGUUCAAUAAUCCCCUAACUAAAAAUUCAAGCGGAUUUCAUCCGAGUAAAACACGUAAAUACGUGUAUAUUAACAUUUACAUAGAACUAGUUGCCAUGUCGAAGCAUACGAAGAAGCGAAGAAAAGAAGAUCGAGAAAGAUUCAAGACCCAGCACCGGAAAGCCAAGAAAAUGAAAAUACAGCUUCCGUUUCAUAUAUUAAGAAAUAAAAGGUAGUUACCGUCUAA